CCAGACUCCUACGGGAGGCAGCAGUGGGGGAUAUUGCACAAUGGGGGGAACCCUGAUGCAGCGACGCCGCGUGGGUGAAGGAGUGCUUCGGCAUGUAAAGCCCUAUCGGCAGGGAAGAAGCAAGACGGUACCUGACUAAGAAGCCCCGGCUAACUACGUGCCAGCAGCCGCGGUAAUACGUAGGGGGCGAGCGUUAUCCGGAUUCACUGGGUGUAAAGGGAGCGUAGACGGCCAAGCAAGCCAGGGGUGAAAGCCCAUGGCUUAACCAUGGUACUGCUCUGGAAACUGUGGAGCUUGAGUGCGGGAGGGGCAGGCGGAAUUCCUGGUGUAGCGGUGAAAUGCGUAGAUAUCAGGAGGAACACCGGCGGCGAAGGCGGCCUGCUGGACCGCGACUGACGUUGAGGCUCGAAAGCGUGGGGAGCGAACAGGAUUAGAUACCCUGGUA
RNAcentral lists this ribosomal RNA (445 nucleotides) under uncultured bacterium. Its description in RNAcentral is "bacterial SSU rRNA". It matches the Rfam family "Bacterial small subunit ribosomal RNA", at positions 331 to 792 of the family's 1533-position model. The record is from RNAcentral.